RNAcentral lists this ribosomal RNA (400 nucleotides) under uncultured bacterium. RNAcentral describes it as "bacterial SSU rRNA". It matches the Rfam family "Bacterial small subunit ribosomal RNA", at positions 355 to 772 of the family's 1533-position model. The record is from RNAcentral.
UGGGGAAUAUUGGACAAUGGGGGCAACCCUGAUCCAGCAAUGCCGCGUGAGUGAUGAAGGCCUUCGGGUUGUAAAGCUCUUUUAUCAGGGACGAUGAUGACGGUACCUGAUGAAUAAGCUCCGGCUAACUUCGUGCCAGCAGCCGCGGUAAUACGAAGGGAGCUAGCGUUGUUCGGAAUUACUGGGCGUAAAGGGCGCGUAGGCGGUUUAACAAGUUUGGUGUGAAAGCCCUGGGCUUAACCUAGGAACUGCAUUGAAUACUGUUAGACUAGAGACCGAGAGAGGAAGAUGGAAUUGCGAGUGUAGAGGUGAAAUUCGUAGAUAUUCGCAAGAACACCAGUGGCGAAGGCGAUCUUCUGGCUCGGUACUGACGCUAAGGCGCGAAAGCGUGGGGAGCAAA